This 280-nucleotide small RNA is filed under the name Arabidopsis thaliana (thale cress). Its description in RNAcentral is "ATSL290610". Lineage: Eukaryota; Viridiplantae; Streptophyta; Magnoliopsida; Brassicales; Brassicaceae. The record is from RNAcentral.
UUUUUUUUUAGUAGUAGAGGGGAAACAACCGUCUCCCGCAAUUUAUUGAAACUGAAAAGAAAUUACAAAACGGUAGGCGGGUGAGCCUCGGAAACGCAGUUCCUCGGACAUCCUCCCUUACAAUCUCCUCCACCAAUGAGGGAGCUAAAUCAAACUAAUGAAUACCUAAAGAUAGAUUAAAAGCAUAGUUCGCUAACCCGUCUGCAAGGCUGUUAGCCUCCCUAUAUACAUACGGUUAGCUUCUCUGUUUUAGUUUGAUGUUAUUAGUUUUUGAUUUAUU